This 265-nucleotide long non-coding RNA is filed under the name Elaeis guineensis (African oil palm). RNAcentral's name for it is "long non-coding RNA (EGUI_LNC023341)". Lineage: Eukaryota; Viridiplantae; Streptophyta; Magnoliopsida; Arecales; Arecaceae. The record is from RNAcentral.
AAUUUGUGAUAUCCAGAUUUUAUAUGCAGCAACUUUAUUGUUGCACUAAGACCUACCCUCUUAAAAAUUAAUAUUCUAUAUUUAUAAUAUAAUUUGAUAUAAUUUUUUUCCAAUAUGCUCAUAACAAUCCACCCUCUCACCAUAGAGUUACCGAUUUGUGAUACUACUAGGGCUAAAUAAAUCACCCCAGUGCAAUUGAUACCUGGUCAUAACCCAAAGACCAUGUUCGGUACCGAACUGAUUAUGUCCGAGAGUAAUUGCUGGC